UCAUUAAAAACUUAACCUCCUUCUUCCUUAAAAAAAACGGAGAAAAUACAGAGAGCGUAUGCAAUAGGGUUUAUGAACGACUUCGCAGUUGGGUUUCCACGAGGGAAUCCUUGAAGAGAAUUCAACAUCUCUCUGCGAGUGUUUCAGCCUCUUCAAGGUCCUGUGAUUUUGAGGAAUCCGUUAAAUUCUUUGUAUUUCUUAACUUUGAGUAAGAUAAAUAAUGUCUGGAAGAAAUCGUGGACCGCCUAUUCCAAUGAAAGGAACCCCCCAUGCUGGGAUACCUCAUGCAGUCCACGAACCUCCCUUUGCGAGAGGACUUGGCCCAAUGCCCUAUCCAGCAUUACUUGAGGAUAUGAGAGAAUCCCAGUUUGGUAUGGGUCCUAGACCCCUCCCUCCUCACCCUGCAAUUAUUGAGGAGCGUCUUGCAGCCCAGCAUCAAGAAAUUCAAGCUCUUCUAGUUGAUAACCAGAGGUUAGCUGCGACUCAUGUUGCACUUAAGCAGGAGCUGGAAGCUAACCAGCAUGAGUUGCAAAGGAUGGCUCAAUUUGCAGAUUCGUUGCGCAUGGAGAAAGAUGUUCAAACGAGAGAGUUGUAUGAGAAGUCUGUACGUUUGGAAGUGGAUCUUCGUGGAGUGGAGGCUAGGCGGGCUGAGCUUCGUCAGGUUCAUGCUGAUAUCAAGGAGCUCACUGGUGUGAGACAGGAGCUCACGGGCAAGGUACAAGCAAUGACCCAAGAUUUGGCUAGGGUUACUGCAGAUCUGCACCAGGUUCCUGCUAUAAGAGCAGAAAUUGAAACUAUGAAACAAGAAUUACAACGUGCUAGAGCUGCCAUCGAGUAUGAAAAGAAAGGAUAUGCAGAGAAUUAUGAGCAUGGUCAGGUGAUGGAGAAAAAAUUGAUCUCAAUGGCUAGGGAAUUGGAGAAACUGCGUGCCGAAAUGGCUAAUGCUGAGAAGAGAGCACGUGCUGCUGCUGCUGUCGGGAAUCCAGGGUACAAUGCGAAUUAUGGCAACCCUGAUGCAGGAUAUGCAGGAAAUCAUUAUCCUGCUAGCUAUAGCUUGAAUCCUGUACAAAGUGGUGCUGAAAGUUUUCCUCCAUAUGGGGCUGGACCUGGUUCCUGGGGUGCAUAUGAGAUGCAACGAGCUCAAGGGCACAGAUAAAAAGUUAUCCUAUUAUCUGUGUGUUCUAUCGGGUAUCUUGGGCUGCAACUUUUUAGAUAGUAGCCACAUUGGUUUUGGCACUACCUUUUGCUAAGGAUGAAGAUCAUGACCUCACUUGGACUGCAGGUGAAGAAAUCUCAUAAAAGUAGUUCCAAGUUGAUUAUUGUCUUCAAUACAUUUGGAAAGGCAUGCCCUUCUAUAAGAAGCAAAAUACCUGCCCUAUUCCUCAGAGCAAAAUACCUGCACGGUGCCAAUGUUCAAGUUUACACUCAGAAAUUCUUGGUCUGUUCGUUUAGUUGUUUUGCAUAUUGCUUUUGUAAGAGAGGUAUUCCUUUUUUUCUCUUGUGACUGCUAGAUUUCGGUCUAUAAUCAUAACAUACAAGAGUUUCUGCAGCCAUAUAUGCUGGCUUCAGUAUGGACAUUGGGACUAGCAAGACAAUUUGUGAAACAACUGGAAUAGAUUGUUAGAAAUGCAGGCUUUAAAUUAUUAAGGAAAGUUCAUACAGGCUUCUGCUUGUGAAAGAACCAAUAGUUUGUUUAGUCUGUUAAGUUUGAAUUGAGGAGAGAUGUUAUCUUUAAUGAAUGAAGUUCCAUCCAUAUAUCAUUUCCUUUAGAAGAACAACUGCCACAUUCUAAGACAAGCCUAUAGUUGGGUUAAGGAGAUAUAAUCCUUAAUGGAUGAAGUUGUAUCCUUAUGCCAUAUUAUUUGAAAGAACAGCAGUGAAGUACAAAGAAUCUUGUUUCUUUGCAUGUGGUAUGCUGUUCAUUGGCAAGACAUAUCCAACAAUGGAGCUGAAGGAUGAGUUUCUUGGUCAAAUCUACAGCAUCCUGGCCCUCCAAAUCUCCUGCUUAUGCUAUUGGAAAAAGCUUAUGAAUGUUGGCUCAUGAGAUGGUGAUUUCUGUAAAUAGCAUUUACGGUGCUCUCACUUCUCAUCUCCUUUGGCAAUCCCUGUGUACUCAAAACUGUCUGGCCCUUCCAUUUUCUUUUUGGGAUGUAAGAAGAUCCGUCUUCAGUCCUCUCCUAACUGGGAGAGAGCUCUGAUAGAUUCUCCUCCUAUGAGCCCCAAUUUUUUUUUUUUUUUAAUUUAUAUUUGUAAAUUUAUUUUUCAAAAUAAUUACUUUAAAUAAACUCUCUAUUAUAAGCUUUAAGAUUUUAAUUAUUUAACAUUCUUUAAAAAAAAAAAAAAACUUCAAAUUAUAUAUUAGCUUUAUUAAAUUAUUUAUAUCAACAAUUUUGUCAAA
This is an RNA transcript of Ziziphus jujuba (common jujube), 2398 nucleotides long. It is a transcript of the gene named protein FLX-like 1, with no coding region annotated. NCBI's taxonomy places the organism in Eukaryota, Viridiplantae, Streptophyta, Magnoliopsida, Rosales, Rhamnaceae. The transcript is spliced from 9 exons. The record is from RefSeq and is a predicted model, not a curated record.